RNA transcript from Pelmatolapia mariae (spotted tilapia), 5595 nucleotides. RefSeq lists it as uncharacterized. NCBI's taxonomy places the organism in Eukaryota, Metazoa, Chordata, Actinopteri, Cichliformes, Cichlidae. The record is from RefSeq and is a predicted model, not a curated record. The transcript has 5 exons.
AGGUGGCGCUAAUGCGUAUGUCAGUCGGUUCUCCAGUCGCCAUUAACGUCCGAAGAAAACGAAAAGAAACGGAAGAAGAAGGUUCAGUGGGAAAACAAUUCUGUGGGACCAAGAUGUAAGAACUUAUUUACUGUGACAAGGGGACUGCUUAACUGAAGUCAUCGUUUGAAAGACUGCUCUUCAGGCAAUACUCUCUGAAUGUUCCAACAGUCAAAGAAGUCUCAGUGCUCCAGGACCUCAGGACAGCCUGGUUCACCUGACAAUUGGAACUCAAAUCAGGGUAGCCUUUGUGCGUCUUGAAAAAUCUGAAGUGACUUGUUGUCAAGAAAGCAGUGCACAAUCCCACCAAAAUUCCAUGGAAUCCACUGUCUACAAAAAUCACAAUUGUGCACUGAAUUACAGCACCCCAUAUCCAAGGAUUUUGCAUUUAGUUUGUAUAGCAGUGACGAUCAAACAAAAAGAAAUACUGGCUUGAGUUCAUCAGCACAUGUCCUUGUUGCUAGUGUCACAAAGGAAUAUCCUCUCUUGAGAACUUCAUAAGACAGCCUUCUAACAAAAGUGGACAGCUUGUGGAAUUUUUCACUGAGACUUUAACUUCACUUUUCCUAAAAGUUUCCAAUAUACAAUCCUGGGCUGAAGCAAGGGCUGCUCCACUUCAUAGAGAGAGAGCCCAAAUGUUUUCUUUACAAGAUCAGUCUUCUUCUGUACCUGAGAACAAGGCCUUCACAUCAUCCCCAUUAAUUUGCAUCUCUCCAAAAGAGGAAUCUGCUAAUUUCAAAUCUUCCAAGAUUGAACCUAAUGUUGAUGAUUUCUCAGAGGAAAAGUGUUUUGAGAAUCAGGAAGUGGGAAAUUUCCUCUCCCGAGUUUGUGGGGAGAAGAAACAAAUCCUAGAUCAUUCAGAAGGAAAUGUUUCCACCCCUUCUCAGAAGCUCUCUCCUUCUUCUCUCAGGAAUCAGCCAGCCGAAGGUGAAGUCUUGGAAGCUAAAAAAACCAAAGGGAUGACAAAUGAUCAAAAGAAUGAACUAUCUGACUUUAUCGAGAAAGAGGUUGAGUUAAUUAGGUCGGAACAUACCGAGCAGCAAAGAUUCAGCCCUGUUCUUACUGAGCAGUGCACUACUGCAACUGGACAAGAAGAUGAAGUAAAGGAAAGCAAAGGAACUGAGUUCUCUCCCACGUCUGAAGAGAAAUGUGAUGUAUCUGCAUCAGAGGAACAUGUAGCAGAUUAUCAACGUGUCGUCUUCGACGUUGCUCCCACUUGCAUAAAUAAUGAAGCAGAGCAUCCAGUGGCUGUGACAGCAGUUUCUGGAGUCACCGUGCCAGAAAAGACUGAGAAGUACCCAGGAUUAACGGUCAGCUGCAGUUCCUCACAAGGAGAGCGUGAGAGACUCAAAGAAACCGAAGGCACUGGAGAUCAAGAUGAAAAUGUAAAAAAACAGAAGAAGACUGGAGACCAAGAGUAUUGCCAUGUUGAAUCUAAGGACACAGCUGCACUUUCCAGCCUAGAUUCAAUAACUGUUAAAACUGAGAUUGACAAUACACAAUUAGUCUCUGUGGGGGAGCAAUCGGUGUGCAGCCAAACAAGUUAUUAUAAUGUGGAGGAGGAUGCAACUGCUGUGUGUCUACAAGCAGGUUUAAGCAUAUUUCUUCCUUUGAAUAAAGUCAACAAAAGCACCCCUCCAUCUAGACCUGAAGGUGCAGAUACAUUCUCUGCUGCAGUUAGAAAUGAUCCAGAAUAUGAACAGGAUUCAGUCACUGAAGAAUCAUCAAAGCCAGACAUGCAUCUUUUAAACACAAACCAAGAGGAAGUAAGGUUUGAGGACCCUUCAUAUGAAGAUAUAAGUGAAGAUGAGAAUCCAGAAGUUGAUAAUAAUGAUGAGGAGAUGCCUUCACCUUCAUGUGAAGUGUCUGAAGCCAAUAUUACGCAGUUUGAUCCACAAUAUGAAGAUAUUUCCGACACAGAAGAUUUAUCGAAUAUGGGCACGAAUCUCCUAAACACAAAUCAAAGGGACCCUUCAAAUGAAGAUGUGAGUGAAGAUGAGAAUCCAGAAGUUGAUGAUAAUGACGAGGAGAUGCCUUCACCUUCAUGUGAAGUGUCUGAAGCCAGUAUUACACAGUUUGGACGUGUGCAGAGUCAGGCCAAGUUUGCAAAGAACCAAACACUUGGCAUAGCACAAGAUUGCUCUUGUCCAUGUUUUGUUGAAACUGAGGAUGGGUUUGAACGUUUCUUAUGUCCUAAAUGUGACAGUGAGAAACAUUUAGAUUGGCAAGCAAGCUGCUCUUUGAGCCCCCUUUCUGAUGCACAAGAUCAAGAGGAGACUGAUGAGGACGAUGAUUGGCUUGUUAUGCCUGUAAGCGUAUUAGAUGUUAAAUGGGAACCAGCAGAUGAAGGCCAGGCUGACCCAGAAACUGUUUCACAGCAUGAUGGUGAGCAUGAAGACCAGGUAAAACAAAGUGACACAAAUCCAGCUGUCUGUGAGGUACCCGGAUCUGUUCCAAACCAUGUACCAGCUUCUGCUUUUUCUAUGAUGGAGGUUUUUGACACACCUUCUCAUCUAGCAAAAGUCAUACAAUCUAGAGAGACAAUGCAACAGUCCUUCAUGGUGCCUUCUUCCUGGGGCACAACUGAGACUAAAGCUCAGAGACCACAAAAUAGGGAGUCACAUAGUGAUCCUGAUGACAGUUGUGAAACUGAAGAUAGUUCCGAUUACUCUUCUGAUUCAGGACGUAACUAUCUGACGGUGUCCAAACAGUUGUUAAAUAACCUGUCAGCGCCUGCGUCAGCAGAGAAAAAUGACUCUGGUUCUGAAAAAGAAAAUGAAGACCACGAGAUGGCAAAUUUACAACCAAGUCAAACGGGGGACAGAAGCAAGUCUUCAGAAAAGGAUGACAUCAUCAACCUUGAUUCCGACACAGAGGAUGAAGGUGUCCAAAGCUGUCCAGAGACAAAAACAAAGAGAUUAUUCUCUACGCACACAGAGAACAGUGGAGCUGCCAGCCUUAAUCAACUGAAGAAACCUCCUGAAGCCGUGGAUGGUCAAUGCAGAACUAUGAAAGGAAACUGUCAAACCAAUGGACUUAUAUCUAUAGAUUUAUCCAGAUGUUGUAAUGAAGUGAUCCAGAGUGGGAACUCUGACCUUUCACAAAGGACAGAAAAGUGUAAUAAUACUGGAUCUCACCAUGGUAUAAAAGCACAAAGCAUUUCCCAUGACCCAAGUGUUAUAGUAAUAUUUGACAGUGAUGAUGAAGAAAAACAAAGCAACAGACAGGUAAAGAGGAAAGGUGUAUUCUCUGAGUCAAUGAGUGGAGGCAGUACUUCAUGUGGAGAACAAAUGAGGGAUAUUGAAAAGAAGGGAAGUCCUAAAGCAAACAGCAGAGAGUCGAGUAUCCCUUGUGCAGAUUCACCAAAGUCACAGCAUCAGUCCAAACCUCAGCAAACACAGAUAAAAGAAAAGAAACAGGAUGUAACCUUUAGCCAAUCAGAUAGUAUAAAGAAGAGAAAACUGAUUAAAGUUAAAAUGCGUCCUGAGCGUGUUCAACAAAACAACAACAGACAGACUACUUCAAAAAUCAUGGAACAACAUUGUGAUGAUGCACAAAAUAGUCUUCGUGCCAGCCAAAAAACCCAAAUCAAUUUAUCAUCAAAGAAGGGCUCUGAGAAGCAGUCUGUGGACACGGAGGUAGACGUCACUAAAGCUCACUAUCACCACGUUCAACAAAAGGCACAAAGGCAAACCUCAGAAACGGUGCAAAGAGAAGUAGAAAAACACCUUAAUAACAAGGAAAGGGAGACUAGAGUUCUCUCGUCAGAAACGGAGGACAGCGAUGAUACCUUGAUUUAUAUACAAACCAGUCCACCGUUCAUGGACUACCGACGCAAUAACCCCCAGUCUGCGGACAAGGGAAUGGGCUCCAUUUGCCAUCAGCAUGUUGAACAAAAGGCCAGUGGACAUAUGACAUCAAAAACAGUGGACAGGCAGGUUAAACGAGACCUGAAGAAGCAGAAGAGAAAGACUAGAGUUCUCUCAUCUCAAACCGAGGACAGCGAUGAUACCUUAAUUUAUGCACAAACUAGUCCAUCCUGUUCUGAUAGCGAGGAUGACUCCACUGUGGCUCCUGUGAUUCCUCGCUUUGUUGUUCAGAAGUCUUCUUCGUCUAGUGACUCCCUUAAACUUCUAAAACAGUCUACAGUCCAAAGGCGAGGCAAAAAUGAAUCCCAGGCGACUCCAGAGACCCCUACAGAAACACGCAAGACUGACUCUAAAACGAAGAAACAACAAGGGGCUAAAGGAAAGCUUGUAUCCAAAUCAAAGCCUAUAAGUGAUGCACACCAUACAGAACCAUUGUCUAGGUCUGCGCAUAGCUCAUCUAGUUCCAGGCACUGCUCGUCCUCAUCCAAACUACAGCGAUCUCACUCUGACAGAAACUCUUCAACAUUAUAUCAGUCUCGCACUCCUACAAAGGGCCCGUCACCUUCCACAUCCAUGCAGUCAUCAGCAAAGGAACAAGUGUUCAGUGACUGGCGAAAGAGCUUUGUGCCAACCAGGAGAGACCGAAAGAGUAGUCUGGAAAGUAAUCUGAGAGCAAGGAACAAUUACGAGUCGCUAAGGGAAGCCAGAGCUGGACCAAGUCAACAUGACAAGCCACACAAACGGAGACACAGAUCUUAUGAGUCUGCACCUCUGAUGAAGAGGCCCAAGGAUGAAGCCAUACAGAUAACGAAGGCCAGACAUCAGGACGCUCCAUUAGAGCAAAGAUUUCCUCUGAGCAAAGGCUACAAGUGGAAGAAUGAAACGAGAGUCAUGGCCGACAAAAGGUGAUGCUUAACAUUUAAUAUUGACUGCAUAUAAAAGAUGGGACAAGCUUCCAGACCAGGGAAAAGGUACAGCUCCUCUCCAAGACCUCACCACUGAAGGGAAAAACGCUCUGCCAAAGAGACAUUCUGUUGUUUUUGUUAUGACUGGUUCUAUGUUUGAUUUAAUAAAGCACUUGUGUAAAACAAAGUGACGUUACAUAUAAAACUAUAAGAUGUUUUAUGUGUUGUACUUGCUGUAUUAUAUACACUCAAAAAAUACAGGAACACUGAAGUUACACACCAGACAAUCUUGAAAAUGAAAGUUGGAAAUGGGACUAAAGUCAUCAACGUUUUGAUGGGUCCAUUCCAAUUCUAAGCAAAAACUGACUUGUUCCCUUAUUUUCUGAGCAGUAUACAAACAUUAUUCUUUGUUUUCUUUGGAAACAGAAGUGCCUGUAUGAAAACCCAACAUGCAGCUGUUUACUGGAUUUGCUCUGAAUACUGUUCAUACUUGAAACUUUGUAAAUAGUUUGUUGUAUUUUUUAUCUAUUCAUUUAUAAGCUUUUUUUUCUUACUCAGAAAAUUCUAUGCACCACUUAAAAUAGCUGCGUAUUAAAAAAAAAGCCUUAUUACAAGAAGUGUUAAUAGAUUCACAAUUGUUUGCCUUCUGAAUGUCUGUUUCACUGUAUUUUAAAUGCAGUAUUAUGCUCACUCUGUUCAUGUUGCCUGUGUGAGUCCUAAACCCAUCAGAAGGUUUCAAACCGCUGACAGGUGAAAUGAAUAAAAGUUGUUACAAUGUUCUG